UUGGAGGGCAAGUCUGGUGCCAGCAGCCGCGGUAAUUCCAGCUCCAAUAGCGUAUAUUAAAGUUGUUGCAGUUAAAAAGCUCGUAGUUGAAUUUCGAGAUCAAUUUGUUGGUCGUGCCUCGGUACGUACUGGCAAUUUUGAUUUCUCCCUUCUGAAGAACCAUGAUGUCAUUAAUUUGGUGUCAUGGGGAAUCAGGACCGUUACUUUGAAAAAAUUAGAGUGUUUAAAGCAGGCUCGCGCUUGAAUACAUUAGCAUGGAAUAAUGAAAUAGGACGUUUGAUUUUAUUUUGUUGGUUUCUAGGAUCGACGUAAUGAUUAAUAGGGAUAGUUGGGGGCAUUAGUAUUCAAUUGUCAGAGGUGAAAUUCUUGGAUUUAUUGAAGACUAACUACUGCGAAAGCAUUUGCCAAGGAUGUUUUCAUUAAUCAAGAACGAAAGUUAGGGGAUCGAAGACGAUCAGAUACCGUCGUAGUCUUAACCAUAAACUAUGCCGACUAGGGAUCGGAUGAUGUUAAUUUUUUAAUGACUCAUUCGGCGCCUUACGGGAAAC
This 548-nucleotide ribosomal RNA is filed under the name uncultured Glomus. RNAcentral's name for it is "SSU rRNA". It matches the Rfam family "Eukaryotic small subunit ribosomal RNA", at positions 548 to 1098 of the family's 1831-position model. Lineage: Eukaryota; Fungi; Glomeromycota; Glomeromycetes; Glomerales; Glomeraceae. The record is from RNAcentral.